AGCUGCUAGAACAAUUCUUGACCACCAGGCAUUUUCAAUUGAAAUCUCUGUAAGCUACACUCUCAUCUUGAUUUAGUUACUCUGAUUCUAAUUGAUUACUGGGCCUGGGUCAUAGGAGCUUUUUCCAGAUCUUUUAUUCAAACCCACUUGGGCUACACUACUGAAUGCUAGGCCCAUAAGUGAAACUUCUACUACCACCUCGGCCCCAUUGUUUUUCAUCCUUGUCAAUGUUAUUCGAUGCUUCUUCUAAACAGCAAAGCAUCGUCACCGCUUCUCCACCGGAAUUUCAGAAAUGAAUUAGGCUCAACAUUAGCAAGCUGUAUGAAGGCGGAUUAUUUUAUGACCGGACAUGGUUAAUAGAUUCGGAGGAGUGGGAUGGGCUUCUGGGGUAGAUUAAUGUGCAAGGAGUCGAAGUCCAUGUUGCGGGGACAUUGCAAGAAGGAGAACCGGUUCCUGGACUUAUUUAGGUGAUAGGCUGAAGAACCAUUGAGUGUGCAAUCUUUGUUUCAUUAUAUUUGAAGGUCAUGAUGAAGAGCUAGAGAUGGAGCAUGGACCUCCAUAUUUGCUGGUAUAAUUAGAUUCCCAUUCUUGUUCCUUGUUUGACUUCACGUAGAACACUGACAAUUGGGGGGUUUAGCCUUAGAGAUUCGUUGAUAACCAUGCUCAUCUACAAGGGAAGGAAAAAAAACAAAAAAAAAUAGUUGAGUACAUUGAACAUACAAGUUAAAUAGUUGUUUCCAUCAGAAUCUGUAGUGGUUUUCAGCUUUUCGCUUACAGUCUUCAAUCUUGAGAUGCCUCGUGGACUUGGAUUCUGUUGGCCAAACAAUUCAAGGACCUCGUUCCAUACUUUUUUCCUGCCAGUGUGCUUGCAUUGCUAACAUGAAAACAGUCCAGGCAGUCUGCUUGCAUCGCAGUUCUGACAAGCCGAGCUGAUUAACAAUAGAUGACUUGAUUGAUGAGUGCAAGAGUUUAUACAUUGCAGGACACGAGACAAGAAGUGCACUUGCCCCUCACUUGUUGUCCAUGAAAGUCACUUUAUAACCAUCCAUUCCACCUGUCAUUUCCUCCUCCUCUCUUUUCUUUAUCAUCUUUAUAAUGCUUUUUAUUAUGCUUUGGUCAAGUUUCUCUGCUUCAAUAUCAUCGUGUCUUAAAGUAUUUUCUGCAUACAACAAUAAAAAGUAAACGUGUGAAAGAUGCAGCCCAAUUUGUCAAUAGAAUAAUUGGAGAGACAAUAAGCUUCACCUGAUUCCAGGAAUUCUUAUUUCAUAAAGGUUUCUGCAUCCAAAAGCUGUCCUGGAAAUUAUUUCCGAUGUCAAAACUUUAAAGUCCUGGAAUACCGCAAUCUCCCUAUCGUCAUGAUUUUUCCGUCUUUCAAGCUUCACCUCCACACUCGAAAUCAAUUUUGGAAUCGUUUCCUAUAAAGAACAAAAAUAUUGUCAGUUAUUAGAAGAAGCUCUUCGACAUACCUAAAUUUCACCUCUAGUUGUUAAAAUAAACUAUUAAACUGUUGAAUAAUUAACACCUUUGCAUGAGUAUAUAAAUGUUAACAUAAAACUAGGUAAAUAUGUUCGAUGGACACUUGAGAAGCAACUAUCCACAGUAACAAAUUCAAGAAACUACUUUCAAGCUCUCUCCAUGGAAAACCUGAUUGACCAAUUGGCGCAGCUUAAACCGUUUUUCACCUCUAGUUGUCACAAGUCCAUCCCCAAACAGCUUCGCUAUACAAGGUCUGGGCUCAGCUUUGAGAAUUUAUGCAGAUUGGAGUCCACCAUACUUGGUUCAUGAACUUGAUGAGAAGCGAAGGAAUGUAGAGGCAUACACAGCUUGCAAGGAAGAUAAUCGUUGUUCGCAUGGCCACCACUGCCAUGAUUUAUCGAGUAUGUACAGGUUUAGGUCUUUCAGAAUUUUUUAUAUCAGUGAGUUACAGAAUAGUGUUUGAAGCUUCGGAAUUUUGUCAAAUCAGACAAACUGGCCUUCUAAUAAAAUAAUCAUCAUGGACAUGUCAUUAACAUAAAAACAAAUCACACAAGUUUGAUAUAAGAUUGAUUGUUUGCCUGGAA
Populus trichocarpa (black cottonwood) is the source of this 2060-nucleotide long non-coding RNA. RefSeq lists it as uncharacterized. The transcript has 3 exons. Lineage: Eukaryota; Viridiplantae; Streptophyta; Magnoliopsida; Malpighiales; Salicaceae. The record is from RefSeq and is a predicted model, not a curated record.